CAAACCAGGUAUUUCCCUAGUACUGCGAGUGAAGCGGGAAAAGCUCAAAUUUAAAAUCUGGCGGCCUUUUGGCUGUCCGAGUUGUAAUCUAGAGAAGUGUUACCCGCGUCGGACCGUGUAUAAGUCUCCUGGAAUGGAGCGUCAUAGAGGGUGAGAAUCCCGUCUUUGACACGGACUACCGAGGCUUUUGUGGUGCGCUCUCAACGAGUCGAGUUGUUUGGGAAUGCAGCUCAAAAUGGGUGGUAAAUUCCAUCUAAAGCUAAAUAUUGGCGAGAGACCGAUAGCGAACAAGUACCGUGAGGGAAAGAUGAAAAGAACUUUGGAAAGAGAGUUAAACAGUACGUGAAAUUGCUGAAAGGGAAACGCUUGAAGUCCCUCGCGUUGGCCGGAAAUAAACCUUGCUUCUGCUGGGUGUACUUUCUGGUUAACAGACCAGCAUCAUUUUUUACCGGUGGAAAAAAUCCUCGGGGAAAGUGGCACCCUUGCCUGAGGUGUAAAACCCUUUCUGUAUAAAACACCUGGGACGGCAAAAGGGACCCAAAAUUAAGAUGGGGCUUUUCCCACCCCCCUGCGUAGUAAGGGGGGGAACCGUUGGUUUUUUAUUCCCCCCCCCAUAAAA
This 619-nucleotide ribosomal RNA is filed under the name Coprinopsis strossmayeri. Its description in RNAcentral is "partial 28S ribosomal RNA". It matches the Rfam family "Eukaryotic large subunit ribosomal RNA", at positions 61 to 612 of the family's 3401-position model. Lineage: Eukaryota; Fungi; Basidiomycota; Agaricomycetes; Agaricales; Psathyrellaceae. The record is from RNAcentral.